This 253-nucleotide ribosomal RNA is filed under the name uncultured archaeon. RNAcentral's name for it is "partial 16S ribosomal RNA". It matches the Rfam family "Archaeal small subunit ribosomal RNA", at positions 474 to 727 of the family's 1478-position model. The record is from RNAcentral.
AACCAGCACCUCAAGUGGUCAGGAUGAUUAUUGGGCCUAAAGCAUCCGUAGCCGGCUCUGUAAGUUUUCGGUUAAAUCUGUACGCUCAACGUACGGGCUGCCGGGAAUACUGCAGAGCUAGGGAGUGGGAGAAGUAGACGGUACUCGGUAGGAAGUGGUAAAAUGCUUUGAUCUAUCGAUGACCACCUGUGGCGAAGGCGGUCUACUAGAACACGUCCGACGGUGAGGGAUGAAAGCUGGGGGAGCAAACCGG